AACGCACAUUGCGCCCUGUGGUAUUCCGCAGGGCAUGCCUGUUCGAGCGUCAUUAUAACCACUCAAGCCUGGCUUGGUAUUGGGGUUUGCGGUUCAGCAGCUCCUAAAAUCAGUGGCGGUGCCGGUGUGGCUCUACGCGUAGUAAUUCUUCUCGCGAUGGAGUUCCCCUGGUUGCUUGCCAGAACCCCCCAAUUUUUAUCAGGUUGACCUCGGAUCAGGUAGGGAUACCCGCUGAACUUAA
Molecule: unclassified non-coding RNA, 241 nt
Filed under: uncultured fungus
Lineage: Eukaryota; Fungi
Description: partial contains 5.8S rRNA and ITS2
Rfam family: 5.8S ribosomal RNA (bases 1-52)
Source: RNAcentral